UUGAAAGGGAAACGAUUGAAGUCAGUCGUACCGACGAGAAAUCAGCUCUUCGAGUGCGAACUUGUGGGCGUGCGUGAGUCUUUAACGGGCCUCGCUGUUUGCAAUUUUGUGCUUUUUGGGUGUACUUUUUCGUAUGGUAGGCCAACGUCAGUUUCGAUCACCGUAAAAUGAUCGGAGGAAUGUAGCUUCGAUCUCGUAUUGAAGUGUUAUAGCCUCUGGUAGAUGCGGUGACCGAAACUGAGGAUUGCAACGAAUACCCUUUUGGGCUAUCCGUCUGGCCUCUGAAAGUUGCUUAGGUGCCGAAAGCGUGCUUACGGCUAUUUAAGUUGACGGUCAACAGGUUAGAACGUGGUUACAUUCGUUAAGGAUGUUGACGUA
RNAcentral lists this ribosomal RNA (378 nucleotides) under uncultured Glomeromycotina. RNAcentral's name for it is "LSU rRNA". The record is from RNAcentral. Lineage: Eukaryota; Fungi; Glomeromycota.